AUUGAACGCUGGCGGAAUGCCUAACACAUGCAAGUCGAGCGGCAGCGGGAAAGUAGCUUGCUACUUUUGCCGGCGAGCGGCGGACGGGUGAGUAAUGCCUGGGAAAUUGCCCUGAUGUGGGGGAUAACUACUGGAAACGGUGGCUAAUACCGCAUGAUGCCUACGGGCCAAAGAGGGGGACCUUCGGGCCUCUCGCGUCAGGAUAUGCCCAGGCGGGAUUAGCUGGUUGGUGAGGUAAUGGCUCACCAAGGCGACGAUCCCUAGCUGGGCUGAGAGGAUGAUCAGCCACACUGGAACUGAGACACGGUCCAGACUCCUACGGGAGGCAGCAGUGGGGAAUAUUGCACAAUGGGGGAAACCCUGAUGCAGCCAUGCCGCGUGUGUGAAGAAGGCCUUCGGGUUGUAAAGCACUUUCAGCGAGGAGGAAAGGUCAGUAGCUAAUAUCUGCUGGCUGUGACGUUACUCGCAGAAGAAGCACCGGCUAACUCCGUGCCAGCCGCCGCAGUAA
Molecule: ribosomal RNA, 508 nt
Filed under: uncultured bacterium
Lineage: Bacteria
Description: partial 16S ribosomal RNA
Rfam family: Bacterial small subunit ribosomal RNA
Source: RNAcentral